GGAAACGACUGCUAAUACCGCAUAUGCCGAGAGGUGAAACAUUUAUGGCCUGAAGAGGAGCUCGCGUCUGAUUAGCUAGUUGGUGGGGUAAAGGCUUACCAAGGCGACGAUCAGUAGCUGGUCUGAGAGGAUGAUCAGCCACACUGGGACUGAGACACGGCCCAGACUCCUACGGGAGGCAGCAGUGGGGAAUUUUCCGCAAUGGGGGCAACCCUGACGGAGCAACGCCGCGUGCGGGAAGAAUGCCUGUGGGUUGUAAACCGCUUUUCUCAAGGAAGAAGACAGUGACGGUACUUGAGAAAUCAGCAUCGGCUAACUCCGUGCCAGCAGCCGCGGUAAUACGGAGGAUGCAAGCGUUAUCCGGAAUUAUUGGGCGUAAAGCGUCCGUAGGUGGCCCAUCAAGUCUGCUGUCAAAGCGCGAAGCUUAACUUCGUACCGGCGGUGGAAACUGAUGAGCUAGAGUGCGGUAGGGGUAGAGGGAAUUCCCAGUGUAGCGGUGAAAUGCGUAGAUAUUGGGAAGAACACCGGUGGCGAAAGCGCUCUGCUGGACCUGCACUGACACUGAUGGACGAAAGCUAGGGGAGCGAAAGGGAUUAGAUACCC
Molecule: ribosomal RNA, 603 nt
Filed under: uncultured cyanobacterium
Lineage: Bacteria; Bacillati; Cyanobacteriota
Description: bacterial SSU rRNA
Rfam family: Bacterial small subunit ribosomal RNA
Source: RNAcentral